GCUUUCCUGGGGCUCAGUUGGUACAGCAUUGCGCUAACAACAUCAAUGUCAUGGGUUCAAAGCCCAGGGAAACAGCA
Danionella cerebrum is the source of this 77-nucleotide non-coding RNA. Lineage: Eukaryota; Metazoa; Chordata; Actinopteri; Cypriniformes; Danionidae. The record is from the annotation of a GenBank genome assembly.